Molecule: long non-coding RNA, 4620 nt
Filed under: Podarcis lilfordi (Lilford's wall lizard)
Lineage: Eukaryota; Metazoa; Chordata; Lepidosauria; Squamata; Lacertidae
Source: RNAcentral
AAGCAGGGAGGCUGACAGUAGGGGGAGGUAGAGCCAAUGACAGGCUGAACAAACUAUUUCUGCUUUUGUCCCUAUCCUCCUCCUUGCCGGGUUUUACAAAAACAACUCUGAACUUCAGAAGGAGGCAGCUAACAGCAAGGAUUACCCCUCCCCCCUUGGACAGGUUCUAAGGAUGAAGGCAGGCAGGUGAGCUUGUAGGAAUUGAAUUAAGUUGGUGGGGCAAUGUCCCACUGGGAACAAUCCUCAGCUCUGGGACUGUCUUCCCCUUCUCUUCUUCUCUAGCAAUUCCUAAGGAUUAGAUCAGACAGAUGCUUUUCUGUUCCACAUGAAAUGGCACUGCAGGUACAGGGGUACCUCAGGUUAAUUACUUAAUUCGUUCUGGAGGUCUGUUCUUAACCUGAAACUGUUCUUAACCUGAAGCACCACUUUAGCUAAUGGGGCCUCCUGCUGCUGCCGCGCUGCUGGAGCACGAUUUCUGUUCUCAUCCUGAAGCAAAGUUCUUAACCCGAGGUACUAUUUCUGGGUUAGCGGAGUCUGUAACCUGAAGCGUAUGUAACCCGAGGUACGACUGUAUUUGUUAGCAAUCUUGUUUAUUUGCAUCUCUUUCUAUUCAACCAUUUAUAGCUGUUUCUUAGAGAUUUAAAUAGAUGACUUGGUGUCACUUUUGUCUUCAAUGGCCACAAUAAAACUCAUAGCAUUGAGAUAGACUUGAAUAUUUUUGUGAGCUUAUAUAAUGCUAUUAUUAUUUUUAUUAAUCAUCUUCUGUGCAAUUGUCUCAAGGGAAUGUACAUCAAAAACAUAAAAAUAUCAGUUUAAAACACAUACAAACCCAAGACACUUUUAAAAAUGUAUUCAGUCAUUUCCAAAAAGUACAGAUAGUGGAUGCCCAUUGUAUUGCAACAAGAAUGCUAUUCCACAGAGCAGAGCCAGCCACGCUAAGAACAACAACAACCCCGGUCUGUGUUGCUAUGGAGUGGCAUUCUGAGAUUUUUGAAACUUGGAACUUUUCUACAGACUGCAGUGAUCUACUGGGUAUAUAAUGGGCAAGGCAGUCUCUCACGUAAGCUGGUCCUGAGCUGUAUAGGGCCUGUGUCUUUUUUUUUUUUUAAAUGAUAUUUAUUAAAGUUUCAAUAAAAGAUUAAACAUAAAACAUAAAAAAGAAAUACACAAUUCGAAAAUACACAAUACAUAAUCCAAAAGAAAAAAAAGGAACAAAAAACAAAAGACAAAAAAGAAAAAAGAACAAUUAAAAACAAUAUCACCUUUUCAUCUCCAUUUUUAAAUUAACUUAUUUUCUGGACCUCCUCGUACCUCCCUCUUUUGUAUUCCAGUUCAAAUUGUUUGUCCAGCAAUUUCUUUCCCUCUUUUUUAAUCCCAAUCUUUACUCUUAGUAUAAUAUAACAUUAAAAUUUUACCUUUUAAAAACCAAAUUUCCAUUUCCUUAAACUUUUUUAAUCCUAAUCCUUAAUCUUAAUCUAUCCAUAACUUUAAAUCCUGUACAGCUGGAAGCCACUUAUUUUCAAUCCAACAUCACUCUAACAUUCUUUAAUUUUGCAAUGUUUCUGCAAAUAGUCUUUGAAUUUCUUCCAAUCUUCCUCCACCGACUCUUCUUCCUGGUCACGGAUUCUACCAGUCAUUUCUGCCAGUUCCAUAUAGUCCAUCAGUUUCAUCUGCCAUUCCUCCAGUGUGGGAAGCUCUUGUGUCUUCCAAUACUUUGCAAUGAGUAUUCUUGCUGCUGUUGUUGCAUACAUAAAGAAAGUUCUAUCCUUUUUUAUCACCAUUUGGCCGACUAUGCCCAGGAGAAAGGCCUCUGGUUUCUUGGGGAAGGUAUAUUUGAAUACCUUUUUUAAUUCAUUAUAUAUCAUUUCCCAGAAAGCCUUAAUCUUUGGGCAUGUCCACCAAAGGUGGAAAAAUGUACCUUCAGUUUCUUUACAUUUCCAACAUUUAUUAUCGGGUAUAGGGCCUGUGUCUUAGUACUAACAACCUGAACUUAGCCCAGUAAUGUUGCACAGAAAUAGAAACAGAUCAUCAGUGCAAUUAUAUUUAUUAAAAGUUCAGCAUUGGUUGACCCCUGAAUCAUACCUAUGUGGAAUUUUUUCUGCAUAUAGAUCUGGCUAAACCUGUAUAGCACCCUUUUUUGGAUUGCAACCUAUAGGAUUAUGCACCCACCCAAACACACAUACUUAUGCUAAACCAGCAAGGGAGAACCACAGGCAAGUAUUAUGGACGUGCUCCUCUGAAUAUGAUUCCCAGGGGAUAGAGCAUUUGGUUUAACUGGACCACAGAACUUGGAUUUAAGACGGUUUAGGGGUAAUUCCCAUACCUAUUUUAAGACGGUGGUUGUCUGAUGAAAUCAACAUUAAGCAGAGUUUCCCAGGAGAUUUUGGCAUGGUGAACAAGGCUUGUGGUUGAGCAAAUCACUUGCCACAUCCUUCAGAAGGCAGCUGUGAAGAUGUGUCAGAGCAGCCCAAACACCGGCUCACUGCACCCAAUAUUGAUCAUUUAAAAAACAAAGCAAAUGGUGUUAUUCUCUCCAGAAGUAACCUGCAACAUGGAUUUUUUUAAAGUAUCAGAAUCAGCAUGGGUUGCACCAGAGAGGUGGGAUGCUCCCCAAACAAGGAGCUUCCCCCCAUAGUUGGACUCCUGCCAUUAAUAUAUAGUGUUCUUUUUCUUUCAGAGCUCUUAACAUGUGGGACACAACUCAACCACCUAGAAAUAUACUUUGCGCCUUUUGUGCAAACCCACUCCUCCAAUUUGUUGGUGCCACCAGUGUGAAUCACCUGGAGUUUUCUUGGCAGGGAUACUGGAGUGGCUUGCCAGUUCCUGCUCCAGGUGGAUCACGUGUAGUCAAAACUCUCCACUAUGACCUGUCCGUCUUGAGUGGCCCUGCAUGGCGUAGCUCAUAGCUUCUCUGAGUUAUAGCUCAAGCCCCUUCACCACGACAAGGCAGUGAUCCAUGAAGGAAUACUUUGGCCACCUCAUGAGAAGAGAAGACUCCCUGGAAAAGACCCUGAUGUUGAGAAAGAUGGAGGGCACAAGGAGAAGGGGACGACAGAGGACGAGAUGGUGGGACAGUGUUCCACUUGCAAUUCUUUGAUUCUGUUCACGCCGAAGGAAGCGAUUAGGAUAGUCAGGCAGCAGCGAUGACAUGAUCUGGCUGGCAGAUGCACACAGGCCACAUCACCUCCACCUCUCACCACUUUGGGUACAAAUUUCAGAAUUGCGGCUGGUAUCUUGAGGAUACCUUUGAGAGAGAUGACUAGAACUGCUUUGGGUUUAUCGUGAAAAUAUCAUUUAUUAAUGUUCUGCAGAUCACAGUGGAGAAGUGUUAUUUAUUUCAUUUUAUAAUUUAAAGUGAAAAUAUUUUAAUAGUAUCUUAGUUUCUGAUAGAUAUCGAAUGUCCAAUUAAAAAUAAAGCUAGUAAGAGUUCCCGAAUACAGUGGUACCUCGGGUUACAAACACUUUGCGUUACAGACUCUGCUAACCCGGAAGUAGUACCUUGGGUUAAGAACUUUACCUCAGGAUGAGAACCGAAAUUGUGCGGUGGUGGCGCAGUGGCAGUGGGAGGUCCCAUUAGCUAAAGUGGUACCUCAGGUUAAGAACAGUUUCAGGUUAAGAACGGACCUCCGGAACAAAUUAAGUUCGUAACCAGAGGUACCACUGUGGUGGGGGUGGGGAGGAAUCAGUAAUAAACAUUUUAUGUUCUGUAAAAAUUAGGGUAAUUGUGGCCAAAAAUUGAGGGAGUGCUUGAAAGGGUACCAGUUGCAGGUUGAGUUUUUUAAAAAAAUAAUCCGGAAAUUAUUAAUAUUAUUAUUAAUAAUAACAACCCAGAGGAAUUUUUAAAAUGUAGGAACUAUUUCUGCAUUAAAGCUAAGAUUUUAUUGUGAAAAAGCACAGUGAUUUUUUAAAAAUGUUGUUUAAGAACUCUGAAAAAGCUUACUGCUGCUUUUGGCUUUUUCCUACCAGACCUUCACAUUGCAUGCACUGCAUUAAGAGAUUUUAUUUGCCUCAGUAUUAUAUGAUGACCUCAUACUGUAAUCAGUAAUCUUUUCCCAAAAUCUAGCAGUGUUCUUCUGCAUUGUAACUUCCCAUUUGGACUAUUUUUAAUUAAAAGAAAUGGAUUUACGGUCCAUUUAAUCCAAAUAGUUCAGGGCAGGCAACCAUUUGCUAACUAUUCUACCAUAUCCCAAGUUUGCACCAUUUCUAGCACUCACUCGCAUGCCACACAAUUUUAGACGGGAGUGUAUCUGAUAGCCGGUUUGUUUUAUAUAUAAAACCCUUGCUCUGACAUCAAGACAGAUGUUGUUGUGGCUGCUCCAAGGCUGCAGUUUUAAAGAAAUAUUCCAAAUAUUUUAGACCUACUGUCAAGGUAGGAAAGCUACAAAGAACCAAAACGGAUAAACUUGGUUGAAAUCUAAAAUCAUCUCUGUUCUGUCCGUAGCACAACUGCUGCUUCCAAGAUAUAAAUUUGUUAAUUUCCCUGUUAUUAGAAAGAAUUUGAACACACUCCAGUCCCCCAGAAAUGCUGACCGAGAGAACUGGAGGUCGGUGCUUUCGCAAUAAAGAACGCUGGUCAAUAUACAAGUGAAGAAAAAUGGAACCAGAUGUGAGUAAUCGGAC